AAUAACCGCGCCCCAAGUGGUAGUCACGUUUAUUGGGCCUAAAGCGUCCGUAGCCGGUUUGUUAAGUCUCUGGUGAAAUCCGUUAGUAAACUAACGGAAGGGCUGGAGAUACUAUCAGACUCGGGACCGGGAGAGGUCGAAAGUAUUCCACGGGUAAGAGUAAAAUCUUUUAAUCCGUGGAGGACUACCUGUGGCGAAGGCGUUCGACUGGAACGGGUCCGACGGUGAGGGACGAAAGCGUGGGGAGCAACUGGGAUUAGAUACCCCAUUAGUCCACGCUGUAAACGAUGCCCUUUUGGUGUCGCACAAUCUUCGAGAUUCUGCGGUGCCGUAGCGAAGGUGUUAAAAGGGCCGCCUGGGGAGUACGAUCGCAAGAUUGAAACU
RNAcentral lists this ribosomal RNA (384 nucleotides) under uncultured archaeon. RNAcentral describes it as "bacterial SSU rRNA". It matches the Rfam family "Archaeal small subunit ribosomal RNA", at positions 472 to 856 of the family's 1478-position model. The record is from RNAcentral.